UGGAAAUAAGGCUACACCUUCGGGGUGCA
Molecule: small RNA, 29 nt
Filed under: Bombyx mori (domestic silkworm)
Lineage: Eukaryota; Metazoa; Arthropoda; Insecta; Lepidoptera; Bombycidae
Description: ovarian small RNA-8665
Source: RNAcentral